Molecule: unclassified non-coding RNA, 340 nt
Filed under: uncultured Pacispora
Lineage: Eukaryota; Fungi; Glomeromycota; Glomeromycetes; Diversisporales; Pacisporaceae
Description: sequence contains ITS1
Rfam family: 5.8S ribosomal RNA (bases 1-105)
Source: RNAcentral
UAAGUGCGAUAAGUAAUGUGAAUUGCAGAAUUCCGCGAAUCAUCGAAUCUUUGAACGCAAAUUGCACUCCUUGGUAUUCCUGGGAGUAUACUUGCUUGAGGGUCAGUCAGUAAAAUCGUGAUAUUUUUUUAUCGCGGAUUUGAGCAAUAAUCCGAUUAUAUAUUAUUCGGUUGCUUUAAAUUUAAAAUAACAUGGUAUAAUGUUUUAAGAUGUACUAUUUAAAAGAUGGAUCAUUGAUGACUUUAUACCGAAUAUUAUGUGAAUUCUUUUUUUAAAGAGGUAACAUAUAUAUUUUUAGAAGUUUGACCUCAAGUCAAGUAAGAGUACCCGCUGAACUUAA